GUGGCCGUGAGGUGAGGUUUUCGGUUUCGCCUUGUAAGCGGAAGGUGAUAGGUUCAAUUCCUAUCUGGCUCG
This 72-nucleotide transfer RNA is filed under the name Culex quinquefasciatus (southern house mosquito). RNAcentral describes it as "tRNA-Thr". Lineage: Eukaryota; Metazoa; Arthropoda; Insecta; Diptera; Culicidae. The record is from RNAcentral.